Molecule: ribosomal RNA, 189 nt
Filed under: Triticum aestivum (bread wheat)
Lineage: Eukaryota; Viridiplantae; Streptophyta; Magnoliopsida; Poales; Poaceae
Description: partial small subunit ribosomal RNA
Source: RNAcentral
AUGGCAGAGUUGUUAUGGAAAUUCAUCGGCCUUUUUUUGUGGUUGAAGAGUUUCACGAAUUGUGACCCGGAUCUCGCGAAUAUAUCGAUUCCAGCCAACGAUGACACUAUGACUUCAAUUCGAUUGAUUCUUAACAAAUUAGUAUUUUCAAUUUGUGAGGGCCUUUCUCUCUAUAUAAGAAAUCGUUGA